This 877-nucleotide ribosomal RNA is filed under the name uncultured Bacteroidota bacterium. RNAcentral describes it as "bacterial SSU rRNA". It matches the Rfam family "Bacterial small subunit ribosomal RNA", at positions 31 to 898 of the family's 1533-position model. Lineage: Bacteria; Pseudomonadati; Bacteroidota. The record is from RNAcentral.
GAACGCUAGCUACAGGCUUAACACAUGCAAGUCGAGGGGAAACGAUAUUGGAAGCUUGCUUCCGAUAGGCGUCGACCGGCGCACGGGUGAGUAACGCGUAUCCAACCUGCCCACCACUUGGGGAUAACCUUGCGAAAGUAAGACUAAUACCCAAUGAUAUCUCUAGAAGACAUCUGAAAGGGAUUAAAGAUUUAUCGGUGAUGGAUGGGGAUGCGUCUGAUUAGCUUGUUGGCGGGGUAACGGCCCACCAAGGCGACGAUCAGUAGGGGUUCUGAGAGGAAGGUCCCCCACAUUGGAACUGAGACACGGUCCAAACUCCUACGGGAGGCAGCAGUGAGGAAUAUUGGUCAAUGGGCGAGAGCCUGAACCAGCCAAGUAGCGUGCAGGAUGACGGCCCUAUGGGUUGUAAACUGCUUUUAUAAGGGAAUAAAGUGAGUCUCGUGAGACUUUUUGCAUGUACCUUAUGAAUAAGGACCGGCUAAUUCCGUGCCAGCAGCCGCGGUAAUACGGAAGGUCCGGGCGUUAUCCGGAUUUAUUGGGUUUAAAGGGAGCGUAGGCCGGAGAUUAAGCGUGUUGUGAAAUGUAGAUGCUCAACAUCUGCACUGCAGCGCGAACUGGUUUCCUUGAGUACGCACAAAGUGGGCGGAAUUCGUGGUGUAGCGGUGAAAUGCUUAGAUAUCACGAAGAACUCCGAUUGUGAAGGCAGCUCACUGGAGCGCAACUGACGCUGAAGCUCGAAAGUGCGGGUAUCGAACAGGAUUAGAUACCCUGGUAGUCCGCACGGUAAACGAUGGAUGCCCGCUGUUGGUCUGAAUAGGUCAGCGGCCAAGCGAAAGCAUUAAGCAUCCCACCUGGGGAGUACGCCGGCAACGGUGCA